This 980-nucleotide ribosomal RNA is filed under the name uncultured Methanosarcinales archaeon. RNAcentral's name for it is "bacterial SSU rRNA". It matches the Rfam family "Archaeal small subunit ribosomal RNA", at positions 43 to 1029 of the family's 1478-position model. The record is from RNAcentral. Lineage: Archaea; Methanobacteriati; Methanobacteriota; Methanomicrobia; Methanosarcinales.
UUUUAGCCAUUGCGAGUCGAAUGUAGCAAUACAUGGCGAACUGCUCAGUAACACGUGGACAACCUGCCCUUAGGACGGGGAUAAACCCGGGAAACUGGGUAUAAUACCCGAUAGGUCUCGAUUGCUGGAAUGCAUCGAGAUUUAAAGCUCCGGCGCCUAAGGAUGGGUCUGCGGCCUAUCAGGUAGUAGUGGGUGUAGCGUACCUACUAGCCUACGACGGGUACGGGUUGUGAGAGCAAGAGCCCGGAGAUGGAUUCUGAGACACGAAUCCAGGCCCUACGGGGUGCAGCAGGCGCGAAAACUUUACAAUGCUGGCAACAGCGAUAAGGGAACCUCGAGUGCCAGGUUACAAAUCUGGCUGUCGAGAUGCCUAAAAAGCAUUUCAUAGCAAGGGCCGGGCAAGACCGGUGCCAGCCGCCGCGGUAACACCGGCGGCUCGAGUGGUAACCGUUAUUAUUGGGUCUAAAGGGUCUGUAGCCGGCCGGAUAAGUCUCUUGAGAAAUCUGGCAGCUUAACUGUCAGGCUUUCAGGAGAUACUGUCUGGCUCGAGGCCGGGAGGGGUGAGAGGUACUUCAGGGGUAGGGGUGAAAUCUUGUAAUCCUUGAAGGACCACCAGUGGCGAAGGCGUCUCACCAGAACGGACCUGACGGCAAGGGACGAAAGCUAGGGGCACGAACCGGAUUAGAUACCCGGGUAGUCCUAGCCGUAAACGAUACUCGCUAGGUGUCGGCCACGGUGCGACCGUUGUCGGUGCCGUAGGGAAGCCGUGAAGCGAGCCACCUGGGAAGUACGGCCGCAAGGCUGAAACUUAAAGGAAUUGGCGGGGGAGCACCACAACGGGUGGAGCUUGCGGUUUAAUUGGAUUCAACGCCGGAAAUCUUACCGGGACCGACAGCAAUAUGAAGGCCAGGCUGAAGACUUUGCCGGAUUAGCUGAGAGGUGGUGCAUGGCCGUCGUCAGUCGUACUGANCNCGUNNNNU